This 433-nucleotide ribosomal RNA is filed under the name uncultured bacterium. RNAcentral's name for it is "partial 16S ribosomal RNA". It matches the Rfam family "Bacterial small subunit ribosomal RNA", at positions 29 to 507 of the family's 1533-position model. The record is from RNAcentral.
AACGAACGCUGGCGGCAUGCCUAACACAUGCAAGUCGAACGAGACCUUCGGGUAUAGUGGCGCACGGGUGCGUAACGCGUGGGAACCUGCCCUUAGGUUCGGAAUAACUCCCCGAAAGGGGUGCUAAUACCGGAUAAUGUCUUCGGACCAAAGAUUUAUCGCCUUUGGAUGGGCCCGCGUUGGAUUAGCUAGUUGGUAGGGUAAAAGCCUACCAAGGCGACGAUCCAUAGCUGGUCUGAGAGGAUGAUCAGCCACACUGGGACUGAGACACGGCCCAGACUCCUACAGGAGGCAGCAGUGGGGAAUAUUGGACAAUGGGCGAAAGCCUGAUCCAGCAAUGCCGCGUGAGUGAUGAAGGCCUUAGGGUUGUAAAGCUCUUUUACCCGGGAUGAUAAUGACAGUACCGGGAGAAUAAGCUCCGGCUAACUCCGUG